UGGAUCCAGACUUUGAUUCUGGCUCAGGAUGAACGCUGGCGGCGUGCUUAACACAUGCAAGUCGAACGGAGUUAUCAUUAUCGAAGCGAUUAGUUUACUAAGAGCAGAGAUGUUGGUAACUUAGUGGCGGACGGGUGAGUAACGCGUGGGUAACCUGCCUUACACAGGGGGAUAACACUUAGAAAUAGGUGCUAAUACCGCAUAAGCGCACGGAUUCGCAUGAAUCAGUGUGAAAAACUCCGGUGGUGUAAGAUGGACCCGCGUCUGAUUAGCCAGUUGGCGGGGUAACGGCCCACCAAAGCGACGAUCAGUAGCCGGCCUGAGAGGGUGAACGGCCACAUUGGGACUGAGACACGGCCCAAACUCCUACGGGAGGCAGCAGUGGGGAAUAUUGGACAAUGGGGGGAACCCUGAUCCAGCGACGCCGCGUGAGUGAAGAAGUAUUUCGGUAUGUAAAGCUCUAUCAGCAGGGAAGAAAGAAAUGACGGUACCUGACUUAGAAGCCCCGGCUAACUACGUGCCAGCAGCCGCGGUAAUACGUAGGGGGCAAGCGUUAUCCGGAUUUACUGGGUGUAAAGGGAGCGUAGACGGUAGUGCAAGUCUGAAGUGAAAGGCGGGGGCCCAACCCCCGGACUGCUUUGGAAACUGUGCUGCUAGAGUGCAGGAGAGGUAAGUGGAAUUCCUAGUGUAGCGGUGAAAUGCGUAGAUAUUAGGAGGAACACCAGUGGCGAAGGCGGCUUACUGGACUGUAACUGACGUUGAGGCUCGAAAGCGUGGGGAGCAAACAGGAUUAGAUACCCUGGUAGUCCACGCCGUAAACGAUGAUCACUAGGUGUUGGUGA
This 842-nucleotide ribosomal RNA is filed under the name uncultured Bacillota bacterium. RNAcentral describes it as "bacterial SSU rRNA". It matches the Rfam family "Bacterial small subunit ribosomal RNA", at positions 1 to 829 of the family's 1533-position model. The record is from RNAcentral. Lineage: Bacteria; Bacillati; Bacillota.